GGGAUGUAGCAUAGUCCGGUCCAAUGCGCCUGCUUGUCACGCAGGAGAUCAUGGGUUCAAAUCCCAUCAUCCCC
RNAcentral lists this transfer RNA (74 nucleotides) under marine eukaryotic metagenome. It matches the Rfam family "tRNA". From Rfam's summary of the family: Transfer RNA (tRNA) molecules are approximately 80 nucleotides in length. Their secondary structure includes four short double-helical elements and three loops (D, anti-codon, and T loops). The record is from RNAcentral.